UACAUGGGGUGCAAACGUUGCUCGGAAUUAUUGGGCGUAAAGAGCUCGUAGGCGGUUUGUCACGUCUGCUGUGAAAACUCGGGGCUUAACUCCGGGCCUGCAGUGGGUACGGGCAGACUAGAGUGCGGUAGGGGAGACUGGAAUUCCUGGUGUAGCGGUGAAAUGCGCAGAUAUCAGGAGGAACACCGGUGGCGAAGGCGGGUCUCUGGGCCGUAACUGACGCUGAGGAGCGAAAGCGUGGGGAGCAAACAGG
This 253-nucleotide ribosomal RNA is filed under the name uncultured bacterium. RNAcentral describes it as "partial 16S ribosomal RNA". It matches the Rfam family "Bacterial small subunit ribosomal RNA", at positions 524 to 776 of the family's 1533-position model. The record is from RNAcentral.